This 95-nucleotide non-coding RNA is filed under the name Gloeomargarita lithophora. RNAcentral's name for it is "TPP sequence". It matches the Rfam family "TPP riboswitch aptamer (THI element)". From Rfam's summary of the family: Vitamin B(1) in its active form thiamin pyrophosphate (TPP) is an essential coenzyme that is synthesised by coupling of pyrimidine and thiazole moieties in bacteria. Lineage: Bacteria; Bacillati; Cyanobacteriota; Cyanophyceae; Gloeomargaritales; Gloeomargaritaceae. RNAcentral also lists the same sequence under 1 other name. The record is from RNAcentral.
UACACAAGCUAGGGGUGCCCCAAUGGGGGGCUGAGAACAUACCCUGAGAACCUGAACCGGCUCAUACCGGCGGAGGGAAGCUGUUUUUUUGAGGU